This 785-nucleotide ribosomal RNA is filed under the name Rhodococcus sp. N3-4A. RNAcentral describes it as "bacterial SSU rRNA". It matches the Rfam family "Bacterial small subunit ribosomal RNA", at positions 61 to 862 of the family's 1533-position model. Lineage: Bacteria; Bacillati; Actinomycetota; Actinomycetes; Mycobacteriales; Nocardiaceae. The record is from RNAcentral.
GUCGAGCGGUAAGGCCUUUCGGGGUACACGAGCGGCGAACGGGUGAGUAACACGUGGGUGAUCUGCCCUGCACUCUGGGAUAAGCCUGGGAAACUGGGUCUAAUACCGGAUAUGACCGCAUGCUUCAUGGUGUGUGGUGGAAAGAUUUAUCGGUGCAGGAUGGGCCCGCGGCCUAUCAGCUUGUUGGUGGGGUAAUGGCCUACCAAGGCGACGACGGGUAGCCGACCUGAGAGGGUGACCGGCCACACUGGGACUGAGACACGGCCCAGACUCCUACGGGAGGCAGCAGUGGGGAAUAUUGCACAAUGGGCGGAAGCCUGAUGCAGCGACGCCGCGUGAGGGAUGAAGGCCUUCGGGUUGUAAACCUCUUUCAGCAGGGACGAAGCGUGAGUGACGGUACCUGCAGAAGAAGCACCGGCUAACUACGUGCCAGCAGCCGCGGUAAUACGUAGGGUGCGAGCGUUGUCCGGAAUUACUGGGCGUAAAGAGUUCGUAGGCGGUUUGUCGCGUCGUUUGUGAAAACCCGGGGCUCAACUUCGGGCUUGCAGGCGAUACGGGCAGACUUGAGUGUUUCAGGGGAGACUGGAAUUCCUGGUGUAGCGGUGAAAUGCGCAGAUAUCAGGAGGAACACCGGUGGCGAAGGCGGGUCUCUGGGAAACAACUGACGCUGAGGAACGAAAGCGUGGGUAGCAAACAGGAUUAGAUACCCUGGUAGUCCACGCCGUAAACGGUGGGCGCUAGGUGUGGGUUCCUUCCACGGGAUCUGUGCCGUAGCUAACGCAUUA